UAAAAUGGCUUUGGGUAGCAUAUAUCCUAAUUAUUUUCUUUUGAUUUGUUUUUUAGUUUGCUGUUAACUGAUUUUGAAGUUUUGAUGAUUCCUGUAAGGCAAGGAUCAAAUUUAGUAGAAGUUCUUGUAUUCUUGAAAUUACAUCACAAGAUUUAUUGAAAUCAAUGUCUUCAAUGUUCUAUUCAAUGUCUCAGCCUAUUUUUCUGAAGAAAACUCUUACAAUUUUUAUAGGUAGAAUAAAAAACAUCACCAAACUCAGCAAAUAACUUUCAAAGAAGAUAUCAUUAAUGAAUAAGUGAAGAGAAAAUGCUUGUAGAUAAAGUGGCUUGAUGUCCAGGAUGGGAAAACACUGGUAAAAAUUUCCCUGCUUAAAAGAAGAAAUCAUGUUCUUGAAGUUGUAUUACUCAUCAAUGAAAUGCAUAGCUCUGAUAACAAAUACAAAGUAUCCUGAGUCUGCCAUCUAACACAUCCAUUGACAUACUGUGAAAAAAGGAAAGGAACAGCUAAUGGAUGUCUUGGAGCAUUUAUUGAGAGGGAGAAAAAAGAGAAAAGCAAUAUUCACUUUGAAAGUUGCAACUUUGAAAGAAUUUCUGGAACACUUGAGAACAGAUCUGUUCUGAAUGCCUCUUGUAGACACAAUACCAUCCAGUCCUAGGUUUCUGGUCUCCAUGGGCCUGGGAACUACUGUUUAGUCCAC
Molecule: long non-coding RNA, 697 nt
Organism: Pan paniscus (pygmy chimpanzee)
Lineage: Eukaryota; Metazoa; Chordata; Mammalia; Primates; Hominidae
Source: Ensembl